GCAGUAGCCGCGGUAAGACGGAGGGUGCUAGCGUUGUUCGGAAUCACUGGGCGUAAAGGGCGCGUAGGCGGCCUGUUAAGUCGGAUGUGAAAGCCCGGGGCUCAACCCCGGAACUGCAUCCGAGACUGGCAGGCUUGAGACCGGGAGAGGAGGGUGGAAUAUCCAGUGUAGAGGUGAAAUUCGUAGAUAUUGGAUGGAACACCGGUGGCGAAAGCGGCUCUCUGGCCCGGAUCUGACGCUGAGGCGCGAAAGCGUGGGGAGCAAACAGGAUUAGAUACCCCGGUAGUCCCUGUCUCUUAUAC
This 302-nucleotide ribosomal RNA is filed under the name uncultured bacterium. Its description in RNAcentral is "partial 16S ribosomal RNA". It matches the Rfam family "Bacterial small subunit ribosomal RNA", at positions 508 to 807 of the family's 1533-position model. The record is from RNAcentral.